Long non-coding RNA from Oncorhynchus masou masou (cherry salmon), 1671 nucleotides. RefSeq lists it as uncharacterized. The record is from RefSeq and is a predicted model, not a curated record. NCBI's taxonomy places the organism in Eukaryota, Metazoa, Chordata, Actinopteri, Salmoniformes, Salmonidae. The transcript has 2 exons.
AUCAGAAAAAUGACAUGCGCAGAAGAGUCACAACGACAAUAACAACAAACGCCGAAUUUCCAUAACGAAAUGGCUAACGAAAUUGCAUAACAAAUAGCCAUUCUGGAUUGUGAACUGCUGCUCCAUGGUCGUGGACAUAAAACUCUCGACAAGUUUGAUAUAGAGACUGUUUCAGAUGAGUUCUUAUUAACAACAUUUGGAUUCCCUCGAGAUUUCAUCUACUACCUGCUGGAGCUACUGCAUGACACUUUAGGAUUCUAUACCACAGGAUCCUUCCAGAUGAGGAUGGGAGAUGCCAUUGGCAUUAGCCAGGCUUCCAUUGGCAUUAGCCAGGCUUCCAUGAGUCGCUGUGUGACAAAUGCCAGGGGACUUUUGCUCAGUGCAGAGACUAACUGGCCUGGCAGUUUACAGGAUAACUGCAUAUUUCAAGAGUCUUCAGUGUACAAGGAAUUGGAAGAGCAGGAAAAUCACGAAGGCUGGUUAUUAGUUAAUAUAGCUGAUAAUCCUCCAUUUUAAACUUUCAUUGUUGAAAAUACUUUUUUUUAAAUUAUUGUCUUGCUCUUCAAGCUUCCCUCUUUCAUAAUGUCUAACCUAGCCAUGCUUUUUCUUGUAGGAGACUGCCACUAUCCUUUAAAGAAAUGGCUGAUGACACCUGUCUAGUACCCAGAAACUUCAGCAGACUUUCGAUACAACCUGGCUCACACUGCCACUCAUGAGAUGGUGGACCGCACGUUCAGGGCCAUUCAAACUCGUUUCCGUUGCCUGGAUGGGUCCAAAGGCUACCUUCAGUACACACCUGAGAAGUGCUCUCACAUCAUUCUUGCCUGCUGCGUCUUGCACAACGUGUCAUUGCAAUCAGGCUUGGAUGCCUGGAUGUUUGAGAGGACUGAUAUACCAGGCCAGUCAGACGACGGCAGUCGAAAGCCAGAGGCUGUGGACUCUGAGGCAGUCCGAAUCCGCCAGGAGCUCAUUCUUAGUCACUUCAGCUAGGUCUGCAUGCUCAGAAUCAACAGGGAAAACACUAUGCUUCACAGAGACACUGCCUGCAAUAGAGAAGUGGUUGACACCAGAUUCUGUAUAAGCAGAAAGAAAGAUGAUUUUGUGACUAAUAUAGGUUUUAGUAGGUGUAGAUGUACAGUUUCAGAAAGUAUUCAUACAUCUUGACUAAUUGCACAUUUUGUUGUUGGAUUAAAUGUAUUAUUUUUCUCACCCAUCUACACACAAUAUCCCCUAAUGGAAAAGUGAAAACAUGUUUUUAGACAUGUUUGCAAAUUUAUUGAUAAUUAAAUGUGUAUCCUAAAAAACUCUAGUCCUUUCUGAUGACAAGCAUACCCAUAACAUGAUGCAGCCAACAUCAUGCUUGAAAAUAUGGUGGUACUUGGAUUUGUAUGUAUAUGUAAAAUGUAUGUAUAUGUAGCAGAAAAGCAGUAAAAAUGUUUUUAUUUCUCCUCCAAAGAGGGGUGGUGGUGGAGGGGUUAAUACAUGUUUUUUUUUUAAAGCCCUAAUAGCGGACACGGCGGUUGUGAUACAGUCUGGGAUCAAACCAAGGUCUGUAGUGAUGCCUCUAGCACUGAGAUGCAGUGCCUUAGACCGCUGCACCACUCAGGAGUGACUGAGUGUAUUGAUACACCAUCCAAAGUGUAAUUAAAAACUUCACCAUGCUCAAAGGAA